Molecule: ribosomal RNA, 440 nt
Filed under: uncultured bacterium
Lineage: Bacteria
Description: partial 16S ribosomal RNA
Rfam family: Bacterial small subunit ribosomal RNA
Source: RNAcentral
CCUACGGGAGGCAGCAGUGGGGAAUAUUGCACAAUGGGGGAAACCCUGAUGCAGCGACGCCGCGUGAGUGAUGAAGUAUUUCGGUAUGUAAAGCUCUAUCAGCAGGGAAGAUAAUGACGGUACCUGACUAAGAAGCUCCGGCUAAAUACGUGCCAGCAGCCGCGGUAAUACGUAUGGAGCAAGCGUUAUCCGGAUUUACUGGGUGUAAAGGGAGCGCAGACGGCAGGGCAAGUCUGAUGUGAAAGUCCGGGGCUCAACCCCGGGACUGCAUUGGAAACUGUCCGGCUAGAGUGCAGGAGAGGUAAGUGGAAUUCCUAGUGUAGCGGUGAAAUGCGUAGAUAUCAGGAGGAACACCGGCGGCGAAGGCGGCCUGCUGGACUGAAACUGACGUUGAGGCUCGAAAGCGUGGGGAGCAAACAGGAUUAGAUACCCCAGUAGUC